AACGAACGCUGGCGGCAUGCCUAACACAUGCAAGUCGAACGAGACCUUCGGGUCUAGUGGCGCACGGGUGCGUAACGCGUGGGAACCUGCCCUUAGGCUCGGAAUAACUCCCCGAAAGGGGUGCUAAUACCGGAUAAUGUCUUCGGACCAAAGAUUUAUCGCCUUUGGAUGGGCCCGCGUUGGAUUAGCUAGUUGGUAGGGUAAAAGCCUACCAAGGCGACGAUCCAUAGCUGGUCUGAGAGGAUGAUCAGCCACACUGGGACUGAGACACAGCCCAGACUCCUACGGGAGGCAGCAGUGGGGAAUAUUGGACAAUGGGCGAAAGCCUGAUCCAGCAAUGCCGCGUGAGUGAUGAAGGCCUUAGGGUUGUAAAGCUCUUUUACCCGGGAUGAUAAUGACAGUACCGGGAGAAUAAGCUCCGGCUAACUCCGUG
RNAcentral lists this ribosomal RNA (433 nucleotides) under uncultured bacterium. RNAcentral describes it as "partial 16S ribosomal RNA". It matches the Rfam family "Bacterial small subunit ribosomal RNA", at positions 29 to 507 of the family's 1533-position model. The record is from RNAcentral.